This 799-nucleotide long non-coding RNA is filed under the name Cricetulus griseus (Chinese hamster). RNAcentral describes it as "lncRNA (ENSCGRG00015033729.1)". Lineage: Eukaryota; Metazoa; Chordata; Mammalia; Rodentia; Cricetidae. The record is from RNAcentral.
GGAGAGCGAAAAGAAGUCUGCGUUCUCAAUUACACAUGGUAUCAGCCUCGGAUACUCUUAGAUGCUGCCCCAGUUCACUGCCAAGGAUGCCAGGUUGUCAUCAGAGAAGAGCUGAUGCUGGCAACAUGCCAUGGAAUCUGCUGAAUUCCAGGAGGCCCUGACCUUACCACCACGAGCAUGUGUGAAUUCCCACACCACAAAGAUUUUGUUCUUCCGUUGGUCACCAUCUCUAAUCUGUAGUUUCCUCCAAUUCCCAACUGGACAGUUUGAACUGUAUUGUUGGUCUUUGAGACUGUUUGCACAGAAUAAUGUGAAGAGUUUAAGAAAACACAUGACACUGGAUUGGGUCCAGUAGCAGCAAGUAUGAGACUCUGGGCACAGACAAUUUUGUCUUCUGGAAGCACCUCAAUGGGCUAUGUGAACCACUGGUUGCUGAUUUUUGAGAAAGAAGCUAGACUGACUUCGCUGAGAUGAGGAUGUAUAUGGAGGAUCAUUAGAAUGUUGUUAGAAUCCCAGUGAGAGGUGAUGAGACAGGUAAAUAAGAUGAAGAAAGAGGGAAAGCGUGGUGUGACGCAGUCUGUUGUGGCGUGAAUGAAUUUGUUCGUGGAAUAACUUGAAAAGUAGUAAGACAAAGGUCCACUUGAAAUGGAUCUGGAAACCAUCAACAUUUAUUGGUAGUUGAAGUUGUGAGAAUCGGUGAGAACCCCCAGGAAUGAAACGGGACCAGAUCUAGGAAGAAGGCUGACAUUUGCAGGAGGAACCAAUGAGGAAGCCCCAGGGAGCAACCAGACCGAUGAGA